AACAGUGACAGGUUUCUGUCAUGUCUUCCACAGGCUUGACGAAGGCAAUAUCAUAAUCCAGAUGGUCUGAGAGUUUUUUUGUUGGUAGAGUUGCUUCACACUUUUUGUGUGGAUUCAUUGUGGUUAAGGUCAUGCCUUCCUAAGAGAAUUUGCUCUUUGGACACAUCUUCCAUCUUACCUCUAAAGGAAUAUCAAGGUGUGGAAAUGAAGACCAGAGAGAGAUUCAUCCCUUCCCAUCCCCUGGAAACAUGAAGGUUUGAUAGAGAACUGGAAGCUUUUUCUUCAUUUCUUAGAUCGUUCCUCUUUCCACAACUGCAAUAAUGUAGUUGAAGGGCAUCAGCUGUGUUAACUUCUCCGGUAAAUGCUCCAGAAUGUGAGUUCCCUGUUCUGCAAUGCUACCACACAGCUGAGCAGUCCAUCCCUGCCUCGUAAAGGGAGAUUAAGGAAGCGCAGCAAGCCCGGCACAGCUGCGGGUGCAGCGGGACACCAAGGCAGACCAAGCUGCCGGCUGAAGAAGCAGCAAAAGUCCCAAGGCAGAGUAUGAAAUUCUAGAAGAGUCGUCAUUGUAGCUGUCAGGGAACCUCACACAGGCUCCCGUGGGAAUCGCCAGUUUCCUCAAGCUCUGCCGCUGGAAAGGGACUGUUUUCCCUUCGUCCCUGCCAGCGCGGGUGCAUGACCCUCCCUCGCACGUAUCCUCUCUGACGUGUGUCCUUGGUCCCCUGCCAGGCAGGCCGUGACCUGGCACUCGGUCCCACAGCUGUGCGCCAGAUCCAUCCCCAGCCGUCCCGCAGGGCCCGUCCCGCCCGUGGCCCCAGGGCGACCUCAUCCCUCAGCCCGCCCAAGGAGCCGAGCGGAGCAGCUGCCACUUGUGCUGAGGUCCAAAGGCUUCACUGCCCGGCAGGGCACUUUCAGAGCUCUCUGCACUGUAUUUACUCACCUUGAAUCUUCGCUGUCUGUGUCGAGCUACCUCAGUGCCAGAGAGGAAUGAAAUGUUUCUGAACUCCCACACAAACAGUUUCAUAUAUAGACUGUAAACAGAUGUUUUAAUGGCCUUUUCCUGCACACCACACACAGCCUUUUUCCUUUCUCUAUUUAGGGAUUUCUCAUUUCUGCAAACUUUUUACUUACUGUCUAUUGAACAAAAGUACCACCUACACCUAACUCCAAACUUAGCUUUCAUUUAAGGAGGUUCUCAGGAAGGUCUUCUGUAGCUUCUCCAGACAACCUAACCAAAGGCAGAAGUUCUGGAAGCAAUGGGUUGCUUUUGUGAAUUAGGGUCCCAGCACAGAUGUGAACAAAUUUCUUAGUUGUUGUGGCCCAAACCUAUCAAUGCAAAAAAUAACUGGCACAGCAUCAAAGGACUCACACUAGGGGGAGGGAGGCAUGUAAACAGUGUAUAAACAAUUUUAACUAAACUAAAACUGUUUUUACAAAGCUUCAACCUGCUUCAGAAAAGUUGUUCUACCACAAACAUAGAUCGAGCCUGUAGCAAAACAGCAGUGCGAUUUUGGUCACUAAACAUUUUGCAGCUCCCCCCAGUAUAUAUAUACACACACAUUCCAGUCAAAAUUGGAGCGGGAAAGGACUCCUACUGCAGACUUGAAACACAAAGGCUGCAUUACAGCUCCAGGGUUUGCUCUCAUUUGAGUGGAGGAGCAGGUUGUUGAACAACAUGCAUCACACAAUUGAAACAGGUCUCUUCUGCUUUCUCAGAAACACUUGUCUCAUGUUUUCCCAAGAUCCUUUUUAAGAAAGCAGUUAUGGCAGUAUGACAAUAAAUUAACUCCUUAUUUUACUGUUAGAGUGAGGCUGAUGCUGAAAACAAGCAAAAAAAAAAGUAGAAAACAAAGGUCACUAUGUGAACAAGGAAGAAAUUACAACAAAACAAAUUAUAACAUCACGUCUUGCAUUUAAAUCAGUGUAAAAGCUUUUCUAAAAUUGGAUUGUCUGAGGCAGUGGCAUUCAUAGGAUUUUCCAGUCAAUAUGGCAAUAUGACAAAAGACAGCAUUCAAAUAACCUGCACACAGGAAUUUCUGCCCAGUCCCAAUCUGGAGUGCAUCAGUUUGCACUACAACCAGCACCAGAGGCAGUGUAAACAAAUUACCUACAGGCCUGCAAAAAGCCUUCAGAGGAGGGAAAAGGCCUGACUAUUUAUGCAUAUGUCAUCACUGAGGGUGUUGCGUCUGUGUCAGGGGAACGACCAGAAACUCCAGCUCCCACUGGAGUUGCUUUAAGGUCAGUGCAGCACAGGUCAGGUGCUAGCACUCAGGGCUGGACAGUUCUGUGUCCUUCCUUCCCUGCACUACAAAAAGCUGUCAGCAGGUCUGCUGGAAAGCACAAACAAAAGGGUGUUCGGGCAGGAUUCACUGCACCCCAAGCUGUGACCCCAUCUCUGCUUUACAGUAAAAAUUGUCGGAGGUGAGCAGGGACCAGAAGAUGCCGGAGAGGAAGAGCGGGUCUGUCCUGCGAAGCUGUGCGCCGGCGCUGAGCACCAGGUGGAGCUCGGAGAUGUAAUCCUGGCCAGCAGGAGUGCACGGGAGCGCCUGACCCACUUUCCUUAAGUCCUACUACCUUUAACACCUCGGGGGACAAAAUCUCCCCUUCAUCACACCUGUGAUCCCAUUGUUACUGGAGUUGUCUUUAGUGCCUGUAGGCAAGCAGGAGGUGGCUGGAAGGGGAUGGAAGUCUGCAGCAUCGUUUCUUUGCCUGUGUCCCUCUCCUUUGCUUUCUAAGCUUCCUUCACAUACCAUCUGAGUGGCAUAGCCUGUAGUAUACUGAAAGCCUGAUAAUAAGACAGAUAACAUCUGUUUAGGUCAAGUAUCUGAAAGGAUUAAUGCUCCCAAAGACUUACAACCUGCAGCUUAGUACUCUGCUAUCUGAACACAUUGGCCCUGGUACAUGUGAUGGCUGUCAGCUCAAGGCUCAGCACUUCUCCAGCUCAAGAAAGAUGGAAGCUGGACAUCCAAGCAACCAUGGCAAAGGAUAUGCACCAUUCCCUUCAUGGAUACAGUAAAAGCCACAAGCAAUGUGUGCUAAGUCUGGUGAAAGAGUUCCAGGGGAAAGAAACAGCUUCAUGGCACUGGUUUUACCUGUGGCAGGGUGCUGCCCCACAGAAAAUGGACAUGCUCAUUCCAGCUGGCAGAGGUGAAAAGGGAGCACAACCAUUUUUUACGGGGCAGAACUGCUGUGUGCAAGUUGCUUUCUAAACAAGAAAAGGAACAAAAUUUGCACUAAUCCACGUCACCCACAAAGCUUACUCAUCUCAUUCCCUUUAAAACCACAUGGUUCUGUAGAAUUGCUCCUGUGGAGGGGCAGGGGAGUGGGAUGACCUGGACUACAGCAUCAACAGAAAGCACCACAGGGUGCUUGUGCCUUCCUUGGCAGGCAUGAGGGGCUUGCAGGGCACACAGUACUUGUGGAUAGGCAGCACCUGCAGACACAAGCAGCCCAGGGCUCUGCACACAGGCUCACAGGCAUUAGAUUCCCCUGUUUUGACAAGGGUCACUUGUGGCCUGUGUAAGUAACAGUGCUUUGGAAGGAAGCUGAAUAGAACAUUAUAUUCUCCAUUUCAGAUCCAUAAUUCUGAAUGGAGGGAAAAGAAAUAAAAUUUAGAAAUCAAUUCUAGACCCUAAAGUCCCCUGAAAGGGAAAGACACAAGACACUGACGCAGCAAGUUCCACUAAGUUAUUUAACUGGUACCGUGAGAGUUGAUUAGAAUAAAGUUGUUUAUUUCCAACUCAUAAAUCCACAUGCUGCCUCUUUCUCUCUUGCCAAUUAACAGUAUUACUUAGCACUAAUAAACUGCUUUCAUUUUCAAGGGGCUUAAGAAGACAAUCACCUCAACAUGUCUGAAAGGAACAGAUGGCAAUGAAGUAUUACCAUUGCAAUUUCACAGUUGGAAAAGCUCCUGAGAGAGGGGGCAGUAGCAGUGUCUGGAGGAUACCUAGCCCUGUUCCCUCUGUGGAGCUGGUGUCCCUCGAUCUCACCUCCACUCUCAGCUUCUGCUUUAAUCCAACCUCACCACACAUUACCUUUCCUAGAGCAAAGCUAUCCUGUUUUUCUUACUCAUCCUUUAAUAGUGACUUACAUCUUUCUAGAAGGCCUCUUACCUCAGCACAUCUCCAGACAGGUUGCUACUGCUUUGGAUUUAAAAGACUAAAUGUCUAUCCAAUAAGGCAAUUAGUCCAGCCUGUCAUUAUUCUUACUGGCUAUAAGCAGAGAAGUGAUUAGGAAGAAACACAUUGCUCUGUCCAUACAGCGGAGAUGCUCUUUUCCCCUGAAACAUCUUGGUUACAUUUCAGUACAGAACAGUUGACUGCCUUUUCCUCUUCUCACUCACCCAUCUCAGAGGACUGUGCAAAAAUGCUGUUCUGUGGGGUCUUUUGGCUCAGCUGUACAACAAAAACUUUCUUAAGCUACAUCUGGAAGGAAGAUAGGCCUUCUAUGGAACAGGGGUUCCUAAAGCAAAACAUGUUCAGGUGAGGACUAAACAAACAAAUACAAUGAUUUUAAUAGUAACUGAUGUGACAGUGACUAAGCAACUGUUUAGUGUGCUGUUUUGGCUUUUUAAAAGAACUGAUUUAACUAUGGAAGGUUUUUAUUUAAAGCAUUGAGAUAAUACCCUCUAUUUCAGUAUUUAACUCCAGCCAAAGAUUAUCUCAAAUUGAAACUGCAAUGAUAAUAGUCAGUGCCAAAUGUCUCCCAGGAAACCUUCUCUAGGAAUGGUAACAGUAAAUACUACUUCAGAAUGAAAUUAAUUAUUCUAACACCUUUUCAGAAAUAUUUCAGCACAUACUGAUAUUAGUAUCAAUUGCCUUCAAUCUCUGCUGAGCCACUGAGCUAAGCAUCUCAGCCCAUUAUCAAUGUCAGCCAUCAAGUAUCAAUGUACAAUGUACAAUGAAAUCCUUCUAGAGACAUUAGUUAGUGUCUAGGGACAACAUAACAUAUCCAAAAUACUGCAUUAACUGGGGCUGUUCCUGCAUGUUAAGGUAAAAAAGUCACACUGAGACAAAAGGGUUAAACACCCAAUGUGCCAGUGCAUCCCUCCCUGAGAAUUCCUGGGAAAGGCAUCCCCAGUCUGCUCCGCUGGAACCUGAGUACUCAGGCUGGGGAGCAGAGGCAGCAUGGUGCAAUGCAAACUGGUUUUCAAAUGGGCUUGAGAAAAUAAUACACCCUAUUUCACCCUAGCUUGACAAGCAUCUGUGUUCAGCGUUGACCCACUCAGUUACCAAUCUAGUGUGAGUUUUCCUGCUAUUUUAUUUAUAUUUAAGAGUAGAAUGUAAUGGAUGUGGAUUUUCCUAAAUUAGAAAACAUCAAAAACAGAGUUCUCACAUUUACAAGAGUAACACUUCAACAGAGAAUACUUAAUAUAUAAAAUGGCUGCAUUUGAUUUUUUUUAGAAACUGAACCCAAAUAGCCCUUUUUUUAAGACUUCGAUUGUACAAGUAAAACAUCUUGUUUUAUCCCUGUAGCUAAUAUUCAGAUGAAUGUUUGUUGUUGGGUUUUUUUUUUCUCAGAUUUCCAUUAUAUUUUGUACUUUAAACCUUUCCAAAAGUGUAGGAAGUCCUCAAACAUAAACACUAUUUCUUGUAAAUAACGGCAACCCUGAUUAAUAACAUGAAGAUUCAGAAUGCCUGUAAUGAGUGAGCAUCUGUUUUUCUGAACUUGCAAACCAUUGGUAUCCUUUGCCUUUACUUGUAAUUUAUUUUUCUCAUUCAGGAAUGAUAAUUGUAUUUAUGACUGUAGUCAUACCAAUGCAUAAACCAUAAGUAAUUGACACCAGAACUGUAUCAAAUAUAAGUUCCAGGUUUUAUAGCACAACAUACAAAGAAUUAAAGGGAUUUUGCUGUAUUAUUCCAGUCCCUUCUGCAAACUCUCUCUUUCUGACCAGCUUGAUACUGGUCUUAUUAUAUCAUCUUCAUACAGCUGGGGGGCUUUAUUUUGGAG
Molecule: long non-coding RNA, 5946 nt
Organism: Vidua chalybeata
Lineage: Eukaryota; Metazoa; Chordata; Aves; Passeriformes; Viduidae
Exons: 3
Source: RefSeq, a predicted model, not a curated record